GACGAACGCUGGCGGCGUGCCUAACACAUGCAAGUCGAGCGAAUGAAGUUCCUUCGGGACUGGAUUUAGCGGCGGACGGGUGAGUAACACGUGGGCAACCUGCCUCCUAGAGGGGAAUAGCCUUCCGAAAGGGAGAUUAAUACCGCAUAAGAUUGUAGUAUCGCAUGAUACAGCAAUUAAAGGAGCAAUCCGCUAUGAGAUGGGCCCGCGGCGCAUUAGCUAGUUGGUGAGGUAACGGCUCACCAAGGCGACGAUGCGUAGCCGACCUGAGAGGGUGAUCGGCCACAUUGGGACUGAGACACGGCCCAGACUCCUACGGGAGGCAGCAGUGGGGAAUAUUGCACAAUGGGGGAAACCCUGAUGCAGCAACGCCGCGUGAGUGAUGACGGCCUUCGGGUUGUAAAGCUCUGUCUUCAGGGACGAUAAUGACGGUACCUGAGGAGGAAGCCACGGCUAACUACGUG
RNAcentral lists this ribosomal RNA (464 nucleotides) under uncultured bacterium. RNAcentral describes it as "partial 16S ribosomal RNA". It matches the Rfam family "Bacterial small subunit ribosomal RNA", at positions 28 to 507 of the family's 1533-position model. The record is from RNAcentral.